GUGCCUUCGGGAACUGUGAGACAGGUGCUGCAUGGCUGUCGUCAGCUCGUGUUGUGAAAUGUUGGGUUAAGUCCCGCAACGAGCGCAACCCUUAUCCUUUGUUGCCAGCGGUUAGGCCGGGAACUCAAAGGAGACUGCCAGUGAUAAACUGGAGGAAGGUGGGGAUGACGUCAAGUCAUCAUGGCCCUUACGACCAGGGCUACACACGUGCUACAAUGGCGCAUACAAAGAGAAGCGACCUCGCGAGAGCAAGCGGACCUCAUAAAGUGCGUCGUAGUCCGGAUUGGAGUCUGCAACUCGACUCCAUGAAGUCGGAAUCGCUAGUAAUCGUGGAUCAGAAUGCCACGGUGAAUACGUUCCCGGGCCUUGUACACACCGCCCGUCACACCAUGGGAGUGGGGUGCAAAAGAAGUAGGUAGCUUAACCUUCGGGAGGGCGCUUACCACUUUGUGAUUCAUGACUGGGGUGAAGUCGUAACAAGGUAACCGUAGGGGAACCUGCGGUUGGAUCACCUCCUUACCUUAAAGAAGC
Molecule: ribosomal RNA, 531 nt
Filed under: Salmonella enterica
Lineage: Bacteria; Pseudomonadati; Pseudomonadota; Gammaproteobacteria; Enterobacterales; Enterobacteriaceae
Description: bacterial SSU rRNA
Rfam family: Bacterial small subunit ribosomal RNA
Source: RNAcentral